Molecule: non-coding RNA, 3135 nt
Organism: Lolium perenne
Lineage: Eukaryota; Viridiplantae; Streptophyta; Magnoliopsida; Poales; Poaceae
Source: RefSeq, a predicted model, not a curated record
UCUCAGACAUUCUGCUGCAGCAUCCUUCUCUCCCAAAUUCUCUUUGUCUUGGCCCUCGUUCUUCCGAGAGUCCUGCCCAUUUGAUCUCUUGCGAGGCCAAUAGGAUUCCCUUUGUAAACCAGAAUCUGGAUCUAACUUCCUGGGCCGACUGCUUAUGAGCCUGGCCUAAUCCUCCUAAGGAUUGGGUGUCAUGGUACAGUAGAGUAUCCAAAACUCACCAAGCCAUAUGGGAAACUAUAGGAAUAGCCGAUGCUCUAUCAUUAUCCUUGUCUCCCCUUGAGAAGCAUGAGAACCUUCUGAAAACCAUCGGAUACUUUUGGUCUGAUGCCCUGAACUGCUUCAUGUUUGGCCACGGCCCCAUGACACCAACUCUGCUGGAUGUGGUCAUGAUCACUGGUCUAGACAUUGCAUCCCCAAGCCCCUCUGCUUUUAUGCUGCCAAAGGUCCCUUUUACACUCUCCUCCAAAACAGAGUGUACAAGCUGGGGUGCCUACCUUAGACGUCAUAUGAAAACCAAAGGCCCUGUGACCGAGAAAGAACACACGGCCUUCCUGAAUUUCUGGCUGGAGCACUUCAUAUUCUGUGGCCCUUCACUUGCCCCAACCAAAAAUUACCUUUCCCUGGCCUAUGAACUCGCCAAAGGCACUCAGCUUGGCAUCGGCAAACUAUUCCUUGGAGAGGUCUAUCGAUAUCUCCAACUGAUGUCUGUCAACCUGUUCUCCCAAAAGACAGUCAAAACAGGAGGCCCCUGGUGGUUUAUUCAGCUAUGGGCCCAGCUGUACUUCCAAAACCAGAUCCCAAACUCUCCACCUUUAGCCACUUGCACCUUCCCAGAUGCUAAUGGGAGGCAGAUCCGAUGCACUAGCUACGGCCAGGCUCUAUGUAGCCUUCCAGGUGGCAAACUGAUCCCCAAGGAGGCAUCAGAGUGGUUCAGGAUUUUCUUCCAAGGCCUGGGCAAUCCCCUGUUCUUUCCUUACACUGAAUCUGGAGAUUUUGAAAAUCCAGUCUCCUUCAGGCUAGACAGCUUUGCCGAUGACCCUAGCACUCGGCACUUGUAUUCCUUCAUGAUCCGUCCCUGCUUCCUUCCAGUUGGCAUGAGCACCUCUAACAGGAUCAUCAAACCUGGUUAUGAGUCUUACCAGCCGGUCGUAGUAGCCCGGCAGUUUGGUCUUGGGCAAGUAUCCCCACAUUUCUUCCUUCACCACUUGACAGAAAGCAGAGCUGAGUUGCCUGAUGUCCUCACCGGCCAGAGGUGUUACUCCUUCUUUGAUGCUCUAGCUAUUCCAAUCCCUCACAACCUCCGUUUCACCUCGUCAAUCGAUGGUUUUGAAACCUGGUGGUCAAUGUGGAAGACCCAUGCUUUCAGAAGAGCUCUAGGACCGUUGCUGAAGCAACUGGAUGCUGAAUAUGAUAUUCCCGCGGAACAGGUACUACUACUCACAAAUUUCUUGCAGUGGCUUACAAUGAUUGUUUGUAACCUGGCUCUAUUUCCUUGCAGCAACAAGAUGGUCCAGCACCUGCGCAAGCUGACGGCUCCCCCUUCAAAUUCCUCCCACCGGCUCCGGUGGUUCUCUUCUGCAAAAGCUCACCACCCUUGAAAAAGGUUGUGAUGCAGAGCCAGCUGAUUUCACAAAAAUCGGCUCCUAAGAGCAAAGCAUCUUCUGGGCCAACUGCCCCCCGAGCUUCAAUCAAGGCAAGGAAAGCAGUCAGGAAAGUAGCUGCCAGGAAGACCUCGAAGCGCCAAAACCCUACUCCCGCUCAAGAAAGUUCGCACGUAAGCUGAUCCAUGCCUUGGCUAAUUUCAUCUAUCCUUCUAGACUUCUGCAACAUGCUUGUAUUUCUUUUACAGACCUCCACCGAAGAGAACUCCAGCGAGGAGACGCAGUCCAGUCGAAGGGACUCGAGCUCAGGCAACUCUGGGAAAACCACCACGCAGAGCCAGCCAGACUCGCCACCGCCGGCUUCCAAGAAAAGGUCAGCUCCCGAACCUUCUGCCCUCCAAGCUCCAAUCAAAGCAGGGCUACGCACAAAGAGCCGAUGCAUCAAGAGAGCUCGCAAAGAACCGCAAGUUUCUUCAGCAAGUCAGGAGGUUUUAAUUACUCCCCCUGGCUCAUAUCUCAUACUAACCCAUCGCUACUCGCAUCGGCUAACCACUCCCUUUGCAGACUAACGACACGUCUAGUGGAGAAGUCGAGGAGGUACUGAUGCCAACCGCCACCCUAGACCUAGCACCCUCCAAAAGUGUAGCUGACAAAGCUGCCAACUUAGCCAAGCCCACGGCAGAAACGCAAGAGCCGAUCAUUUCAUCAUCGGCCGUUCCUCUGGUCUUAGGAGAGGGUUGUGACCUCUCAAGCUUGCUAACUUUCGACCCUGAAUCAAUUGAACCAGCUACUUCCAGGGUAAGCGAAGAGCUAGGACCCAGCACUACCAAUGGCCAACUCCAGCGCCUCAAGGCUUUGCUUUCCUCCUCAAUUGAGGCAUUGGUUGAAAACCCCGAGGAAGUGAAAGGCAUUCUUGAGGACAUUCAGCCCCAUCUCCCGGUGACACUGCAGGUGAAACUCUGGCCAGUUGUGACUCUGUCAGCCUUCAGGUCAAGGGUGAAGUUGGCUCGUCAGAGAAUCGACCUACGCCACGCCCAGCUUCCGUUGAAAGCCGAUAUUGCAAACAAGUGCCAACGGCUCAAUGAGAAAAAGGCUGCCUUGGACGCCAAAACUGACACCUCUAUCAGCAGCACCGAACUUGAGACCCUGCGCAAGGAACUGGAGGAUCUUGAAGAGAGGGUCAGGGUAACCAAACAGCUUAUCCAAGAUAAAGAAGCUCUCAUUGCCCACUCUCAAGAUGAAGCAGAAGGCCUCAAGGUUGAACUGAAAACUGAUCUGGCCGAAAUACGUGCUCUGAACAGACAGUUGGUGACAGGCAAGGAUGAAGAUGAUGAGACCGAGAUCGCCGAGGUGGAUCGUGUCCGUGCUGACGCCCUCCAUGCCCUCGAGGCAUUCCUUCAGUAAAGCCUCUCUAUGUAAACUGAUAACUGCUCAAUUGAGUUUGUACCUCUAGAGUCGAUGGCUGUGCAUCGGCUUUUUAGUCUAAAGUCGAUGUCUGUGCAUCGGCUGUAUUUUAUGUCCUGUUGCUUCGCAU